AACGAACGCUGGCGGCAUGCCUAACACAUGCAAGUCGAACGAGACCUUCGGGUCUAGUGGCGCACGGGUGCGUAACGCGUGGGAACCUGCCCUUAGGUUCGGAAUAACUCCCCGAAAGGGGUGCUAAUACCGGAUAAUGUCUUCGGACCAAAGAUUUAUCGCCUUUGGAUGGGCCCGCGUUGGAUUAGCUAGUUGGUAGGGUAAAAGCCUACCAAGGCGACGAUCCAUAGCUGGUCUGAGAGGAUGAUCAGCCACACUGGGACUGAGACACGGCCCAGACUCCGAGGGGAGGAAGCGGGGGGGAAUAUGGGAAAGGGGGCGAAGGCGUGACCCAGCAAUGCCGGGGGAGUAAUGAGGCCUUUGGGGUUGAAAACCUUUUUACCCCGGGAGGAAAAGGACAGUCCGGGAAAAAAAAGCCCCGGCAACCCCCGUC
This 433-nucleotide ribosomal RNA is filed under the name uncultured bacterium. Its description in RNAcentral is "partial 16S ribosomal RNA". It matches the Rfam family "Bacterial small subunit ribosomal RNA", at positions 29 to 507 of the family's 1533-position model. The record is from RNAcentral.